RNAcentral lists this ribosomal RNA (683 nucleotides) under Pavona decussata. RNAcentral's name for it is "eukaryotic LSU rRNA". It matches the Rfam family "Eukaryotic large subunit ribosomal RNA", at positions 114 to 545 of the family's 3401-position model. Lineage: Eukaryota; Metazoa; Cnidaria; Anthozoa; Scleractinia; Agariciidae. The record is from RNAcentral.
UUUGAAAUCUCCGAGGCCUGAACGCUUCGGCGAGUUGUAGUUGCGAGAAGCACUUUCUCGGCGGACCGACCGUGCCUAAGUUGCUUGGAACAGCACGUCGCAGAGGGUGACAACCCCGUCUGUGGCGCGGACGGCCGCUCACGAUGUGCUUUCGAAGAGUCGGGUUGUUUGGGAAUGCAGCCCAAAACGGGUGGUAAACUCCAUCUAAAGCUAAAUACUGGCGUGAGACCGAUAGCGAACAAGUACCGUGAGGGAAAGAUGAAAAGAACUUUGAAAAGAGAGUUAAAAAGUACGUGAAACCGUUGGAAGGGAAACGAAUGGACUCAGCAAUGCGCCGUUUGAGAUUCAGCCGGCGGGUAGUGCCGGCCCGGGGUUUGCGGAUCUGAAUGGACCGCGGUCCCGGGCUCGGAGCUCCCGGUCGUCGCACUUCUCUUGGGCGCGCGUCAACGUCGGUUGGGACUGGGUCUGAAAGGUGCCGGRAAGGUAGGUCUGUGCGUCCCUUCGGGGUCGCUCGGUCUGUUACAGCCCGGUUCUCCUUGCGGCUCGGGCCCGACCGAGGCGGUGCAGCGCAUGCCUCUCGUAAGGCUAGGGUCCCGUCCCUCCGGCCGGUUGUCGAAUGUGGUGGACUGCUUGCAGUGCUCCGCGAUUGCUGCCGGUCGUUGGGGUGGUGAUCUCGUACCAUG